This 460-nucleotide ribosomal RNA is filed under the name uncultured bacterium. RNAcentral's name for it is "partial 16S ribosomal RNA". It matches the Rfam family "Bacterial small subunit ribosomal RNA", at positions 338 to 795 of the family's 1533-position model. The record is from RNAcentral.
CCUACGGGAGGCAGCAGUGAGGAAUAUUGGUCAAUGGACGAGAGUCUGAACCAGCCAAGUAGCGUGAAGGAUGACUGCCCUAUGGGUUGUAAACUUCUUUUAUAUGGGAAUAAAAUGAUCCACGUGUGGGAUUUUGUAUGUACCAUAUGAAUAAGGAUCGGAUAACUCCGUGCCAGCAGCCGCGGUAAUACGGAGGAUCCGAGCGUUAUACGGAUUUAUUGGGUUUAAAGGGAGCGUAGGUGGGUUGUUAAGUCAAUUGGGAAAGUUUGCGGCUCAACCGUAAAAUUGCAGUUGAAACUGGCAGUCUUGAGUACAGUAGAGGUGGGCGGAAUUCGUGGUGUAGCGGUGAAAUGCUUAGAUAUCACGAAGAACUCCGAUUGCGAAGGCAGUUCACUGGACUGCAACUGACACUGAGGCUCGAAAGUGUGGGUAUCAAACAGGAUUAGAUACCCGAGUAGUC